UAGGGAGACCAUCUGAUAGUCGACCGAACCUAAACAAUAGGUCGUUGUCAGUCAUCCCUGGUCGUUCGAGGCAUAGAUGUCAAAGCUUUCAAACUAUUAACUGGUUCGGAACUCGCGGGCUAUUAGCUCAGUUGGUUAGAGCGCACCCCUGAUAAGGGUGAGGUCCCUGGUUCAAAUCCAGGAUGGCCCACCUGGAAAAAAGUGAUGAAUUGUCAGUAAUGAGUAAUGGAUAAUCAAUGAUUAAUUCAGAAUUAAUUCAGGACUCAUACAAUCAAAAUCAGAACUUACUUAGUGGGGGUAUAGCUCAGUUGGUAGAGCGCCUGCCUUGCACGCAGGAAGUCAGCGGUUCGAGUCCGCUUACCUCCACUCUCACUAACUAUUACCACCGCCAAAAAAACCAAAAAAAAUAGAAAUCAGCACCCAGACUAACUUGGUCAAAAAAGAAGUCGGAAUGCUGGAGUCUAGAACUCUAGUCAGAACCUUGAAAACUGCAUAGAAAUUAAGUCAUCAAAGCGUGUCAGUCAUCCGAGAAAUCGGAGUAUCUGACCAGCGACCACCAUGAAAAAAUCAAGU
This 573-nucleotide transfer RNA is filed under the name Oscillatoria sp. PCC 8973. RNAcentral describes it as "partial 16S-23S ribosomal RNA intergenic spacer". The stretch from base 294 to 366 matches the Rfam family "tRNA". Lineage: Bacteria; Bacillati; Cyanobacteriota; Cyanophyceae; Oscillatoriales; Oscillatoriaceae. The record is from RNAcentral.